Long non-coding RNA from Grus americana (Whooping crane), 1700 nucleotides. RefSeq lists it as uncharacterized. Lineage: Eukaryota; Metazoa; Chordata; Aves; Gruiformes; Gruidae. The transcript is spliced from 3 exons. The record is from RefSeq and is a predicted model, not a curated record.
UCUGGUGUACAAUGAAUCCAACUGGCUAGUCCUGCAAUAUGAAAGGAAGCAAGCGUCCCUGCUGCUAGUAUCCAUCAAUGCACGCUCCUGCUCAUCAGCAAGUGUCUGCCUAGUACAAUGCACCGUCAUCUGUCUCCAGUUUUCCAGAGCCUCAGGCGAAUACUCAUUUCAUCACCUCCCCGUUUUUCCUGCUUGGAACAGAAGACUUGCCACCACACUUCUGGCUCCAACGUUGCUAGCUGUGAUGAAGGUUUAGAGCUCUGUUGUACUUGGAACUGUAUAAACUCAGUGAAAGGACAGUCCCUAUCCCAAAGAGCUCAUGUCUGAGUGGAAGAUGUGAUGCAGAGUUGAUACAAACAGAUGGGGAAGCACAAGCACAGGGAAGCCUUCCUUUGGAUAGUGGGGGAAGUCUUUGCUAUCAGCGCCCUUGGACCUAAUGUCACUUACAGAUGAGACAGCUGAGCCAGCGCCAAAGCAGGAUUGAAUGAAGAUGUGCCCUUGUGAAGAGGUAGGGGUUGUCUAAACUUCUAUUUCUUUUGAUGUCUGAUUCAAACUGGUCUAAUUUGGGUAAUACGCUUGCCUUCUCUGCUAGGUGGCUGUUUGCUGUAUCAUUUUCAUCAGGUAGAGACUUUUAUGACAGUUUGUUACCUCAUAUCAACUGCAACCAAAAUGUGCAAAGCUCAGCCUGAGCAAAUGAGAGGGGAAACAAGGAAUGCUGGUUGAGCAUGGAGCAAGGUGCUUGACUUCAUUUCUGUUCAAGUUAGGAUUUGGUAGGCAAUGUCUACUGAAUGAGGACCUGCAAAGAGACCAGAUGCUGUCUUGUAACAGAGAAAGGACUUUGGUUUUCAUUUCAGUCCACUGGUAAAAAUGCCUAAACUGGAACCCUUGCAAUUCGAAUUUUUAUCACCUGACUGAAGUUUUAGUAAGUUUAGUAACUGACACAUUGGACUGUGUUUCACUGCUUUCAUCCUUCACCAGUUCUGUCCUUCUUCAGCUAUCAUCAACAGAAGUACAGGGGGAAAAAACAUAACCAAGGAAGACAGAGAAGAGACGGUGGUGCAGAUUCGCUGAGCAGCCUCAGAUGUAGCGAUGCAGGACUGGAAGAGCGGGCCUGCUGUGUGGAUGCAGCUGUAAACAUAACACAAUGAGUGAAAGCACUAAUGCACUACACUUCUAUGGAACAUUUGCCCACAGACACUAUUAAUCCCAGAUAAAUGGAAGAGGGUCGGAAGCAGCAAGUGACUUAGUGAGAGUAGCUGUGGGUGGCGAAGCAGAGGACUGUCCUGCUUCCCAGAGGCAGUGUAGGAAGUCAGUACAGAGCUGGGGCUAGACCUCGGCUACCCUAAUUCUCACCCUCCUUGUCUAACUGCUGUGCAAUGCCAAGUCUUUCAUCUUAAACCUUCCUCAGUUGUCUCAAAAGUGCAAUCUGAUAACACUGCUAUGGAAACUUCGGACCUGUAUGGGGUCAUUAGAUAACCCCCCACAUAAUAAGGGAGAUAUUUAUGUCCUUUCAGUACAAAGAAAGUUAAUAAUCAUCAUUAGAAACACCAUGAAACAAGAGCAUACAAAGCAGAGUUAGCUCUACUUGGAGUGUAAAUUGCAUAGUACUCCAAGAUGAACGAAUGCAUGUUGUAUUCUUUUCAUGGUUAUAUUUAAAUCUGUGUUUUCUUUAAUUUAAAUCUGCUCUAUAAAGAUCUCAG